This 675-nucleotide ribosomal RNA is filed under the name Campylobacter jejuni. RNAcentral's name for it is "bacterial SSU rRNA". It matches the Rfam family "Bacterial small subunit ribosomal RNA", at positions 858 to 1533 of the family's 1533-position model. Lineage: Bacteria; Pseudomonadati; Campylobacterota; Epsilonproteobacteria; Campylobacterales; Campylobacteraceae. The record is from RNAcentral.
CAUUAAGUGUACCGCCUGGGGAGUACGGUCGCAAGAUUAAAACUCAAAGGAAUAGACGGGGACCCGCACAAGCGGUGGAGCAUGUGGUUUAAUUCGAAGAUACGCGAAGAACCUUACCUGGGCUUGAUAUCCUAAGAACCUUAUAGAGAUAUGAGGGUGCUAGCUUGCUAGAACUUAGAGACAGGUGCUGCACGGCUGUCGUCAGCUCGUGUCGUGAGAUGUUGGGUUAAGUCCCGCAACGAGCGCAACCCACGUAUUUAGUUGCUAACGGUUCGGCCGAGCACUCUAAAUAGACUGCCUUCGUAAGGAGGAGGAAGGUGUGGACGACGUCAAGUCAUCAUGGCCCUUAUGCCCAGGGCGACACACGUGCUACAAUGGCAUAUACAAUGAGACGCAAUACCGCGAGGUGGAGCAAAUCUAUAAAAUAUGUCCCAGUUCGGAUUGUUCUCUGCAACUCGAGAGCAUGAAGCCGGAAUCGCUAGUAAUCGUAGAUCAGCCAUGCUACGGUGAAUACGUUCCCGGGUCUUGUACUCACCGCCCGUCACACCAUGGGAGUUGAUUUCACUCGAAGCCGGAAUACUAAACUAGUUACCGUCCACAGUGGAAUCAGCGACUGGGGUGAAGUCGUAACAAGGUAACCGUAGGAGAACCUGCGGUUGGAUCACCUCCUUUCUA